UUUCCGUAGGUGAACCUGCGGAAGGAUCAUUAUUGAAUAAACCUGAUGUGGUUGUUGCUGACUCUCUAGGGAGUACGUGCACGCCUCGUCAUCUUUAUAUAUCCACCUGUGCACCUUUUGUAGACCCAGGAGACUUGAGCAAUCGAGUCAAAUGGGCCUAUGUUUAUCAUAUACCCCAUAGUAUGUAUUUGAAUGUAUCAAUGGGCUUUGUGCCUAUAAACAUUAUACAACUUUCAGCAACGGAUCUCUUGGCUCUCGCAUCGAUGAAGAACGCAGC
RNAcentral lists this unclassified non-coding RNA (277 nucleotides) under uncultured fungus. RNAcentral's name for it is "sequence contains ITS1, 5.8S rRNA gene". The stretch from base 229 to 277 matches the Rfam family "5.8S ribosomal RNA", at positions 1 to 49 of the family's 154-position model. Lineage: Eukaryota; Fungi. The record is from RNAcentral.